Mastomys coucha (southern multimammate mouse) is the source of this 300-nucleotide long non-coding RNA. RefSeq lists it as uncharacterized. The transcript is spliced from 3 exons. The record is from RefSeq and is a predicted model, not a curated record. Lineage: Eukaryota; Metazoa; Chordata; Mammalia; Rodentia; Muridae.
CCACCCCACACUAAUCUCUACCUCCAGUCUCCUCUCUUUCCCAUCCUCCAUAUUUAGUCAUGGAUGCUGUUAUUAAACAGUUGCUGUUCCUCCAGGCAUUUGAUUAAAUUUUUUUCACCCCACACCCCCAGCCAGCAGAGGUGUCUGUGAGGAAUGAGCUGGGGAGGCUCCAUUUUGCUCAGAUUCAGAUGAAGAAUGAUCAAAAGCCAAGGAAAGCAAGACGACGAGGAGGCAGAAAUGAGUACACAGUUUAUGUAACAUUUAACUCAAGACUACAAAAGGAUCCAUCCAGAACCGCAU